This 328-nucleotide ribosomal RNA is filed under the name uncultured bacterium. Its description in RNAcentral is "bacterial SSU rRNA". It matches the Rfam family "Bacterial small subunit ribosomal RNA", at positions 27 to 352 of the family's 1533-position model. The record is from RNAcentral.
GGAUAAACGCUGGCGGCGUGCCUAAUGCAUGCAAGUCGAACGGACCGGGUCUUCGGAGCUGGUCGAGUGCGGACGGGUGAGGAACACGUACGAGACCUGCCCUCAGGUGGGGAAUACCCCUUCGAAAGGAGGGUUAAUGCCGCAUCCGCGCACCGGGUGAUACCUGGUGCGGAAAGCGGUCGCAAGACCGUGCCGGAGGAGGGCGUGCGGCCGAUUAGCUGGUUGGUGGGGUAAUGGCCUACCAAGGCGUCGGAUCGGUAGCUGGUCUGAGAGGAUGGUCAGCCACACUGGGACUGAGAGACGGCCCAGACUCCGUACGGGAGGCAGC